This 2779-nucleotide long non-coding RNA is filed under the name Aotus nancymaae (Ma's night monkey). Its description in RNAcentral is "lncRNA (ENSANAG00000038940.1)". The record is from RNAcentral. Lineage: Eukaryota; Metazoa; Chordata; Mammalia; Primates; Aotidae.
GAAACCACAACUAAGUUAUUUGAAUAUCUAAUAGAACACUUGUUUAGGUGUGGAGGUUAUUUGUGUAUUUUUUAUUUUCUGUUUUCAGCAUGUCUAGAACAUAAAAGUCAUUCUUCACCUAUUGCACUUAUUGAUGAAAAAUCUACAAAUGAUCAUUCAUCACUUCCACAAAAGAGUCUACCUCUGGCAAAAGAAGUACUAGAUCUAUGUUUUUCUGAUGAAUAUUUCUCUGAUAAAAGACCAGCAAAAGAGGAAAAACCAACAGAUGACCAAGAACCAGUAAAAAGAAUAAUCCAAAAGAAAGAAAAUAAAGAUCACUUUGAACUUGACUGCAUAGGACCAUCUAUUAAAUCAUCUUCCUCUUCAAUAAUUAAAAAAGCAUCUUUUGAACAUGGUAAAAAACAAGAGAAUGAUUUAGACCUUUUGAACGACUUUAUUAUGCUGCGAAAUAAAUAUAAGACUUGCACCUCAAAGACUGAAGUCAGAAACAGUGAUGAAAAACAUGAUAGCCAGUGCCAAGCAUUUUGCCUCCUUGAAGCAGCAGCUUCUCCUAUCUUAAAAAACCUUGUAUCCUUCUGUACUCUCCCUACUGCUAAUUGGAAAUUUGCCACUGUUAUUUUUGACCAAACAAGGUUUCUCUUAAAGGAACAAGAAAAAGUAGUAAGUGAUGCUGUUUACCAAGGUGAGUGAAAAUAAAAGUCACAUUAUUUAAAAAGAUAUAUUUAGAAAUUAUUGUAUCAAAUUAGUAAAAAAUUGAAUAUAGAAGAUUCAGAAAUUAGUCAUAGAUUAUAUCAUGACUGUAAUUCAGCUUAUGAUACCCAGCCAAACCAAUACUGAAGGAUCAGCUAAGUAGAGAAAAGGUAAGAAAUACCACCUGGCAUUGCUUCUCAGUGAAGCUCCUAAUUGACAUGUAUCACUUGACAGAUUCCUAUUGCAGAAACUAAAUUAACUUUAUUGUUGUCCGCAUCUGAACCACUCAGUCUCCUCCCAAAAAAGGAGGUCAAAAACUAGAUUACUUAAAAUCAAUCCCAGACUUUUUCUUUCUGCCAAGAUGGAGUAACAGGGACUAGAUUUACCCCCCUCCUACCAAAAAAAAAAAAACAACAAAAAGACAAAGACAAAAUACAUGAAACUGGUUUUUAAAGACCCUGAGGGAAGGGAAAUGAGUGAAAUGAGCCCUACUAUUACCCUAGCUAACUGCCUUGAAAGAAUUGUCAGGCUAUGAUGUAGGGAAAGUUACCUGAGGCAGAGCCUGGUGGACAAUCUGAGUUGAAGAAACAGGUGAGAGUCCAGGGAGACCAAGACAGAUAAGAGUUCAAAACAGAAUGUUAGAGAGCAGAGAGCUUCACACAGAAAGUAUAGAAUUGUGCAGAGGAUGUCCCUUGAGUAUUCAGCAGAUGAUUGAUCAAAGAAUAUAUGUGAAGUGGCCAGGUGUGGUGACUCAUGCCUAUAAUCCUAGCACUUGGGAGGCCGACGUAGGUGGAUCACCUGAGGUCAGGAAUUCAAGACCAGCCUGGCCAACAUGGUGAAACCCCAUCUCUACUAAAAAUACAAUAAUUAGCCUGGUGUGGUGGCACGCACCUGUAAUCCCAGCUACUUGAGNNNNNNNNNNNNNNNNNNNNNNNNNCCAGUUCCCCACAUAUGUUUUCUCUGCCCUAUUCUCAUCUCUUGCAGAUCAUCAUUGACUUGUUCCCACAAGUCCUUCUAGGGGCUGAAUAUAUUACCCAUAAUUGGCUUUCCUAUUGCCUCUUAAUUACCUACUACAUAUUUGCCUGGAUCUUCAUUGAAUAUAUCAUCAAUUUGCAAACUAUUUAGCAGAAUUCUUUGUUCAAAUAAAUAUUUCAUGAGAUCCCAAUAUAUGAAAAAGAAAAACAUAGAGCUUCUCUGGUUAAAUUGGUGUAGGGGGUCUAGAAUACUAUCUUCUUGGUCUCACUUUUAUAUGCAGAAAAAUCCAACCUAUCAUCCAAAAAAGCUCUAGAACUAAAUGGAACACAGUUAGGCAAUUAGCCUGUCCCUGUGAGUUUAUCCCUUGUUUGAGUUAUACCUUUGAAUAAAUAUUCCUAGGUGUCUACCUCCAUUUCAGGGUAUAUCUUCAUGUUAUAAUCCUCUGCUUUUAAUCAGUUGGUAAGUUAUGAAUUUAUUUUUAUCUUGUUUCAUAACUGGGAAUCAUUGACUCUUUUUCCCAAUAGGAGUAGAAAUAAGUGAAUAUUCUUUGGAAGCAACAAGGACAUGAAUUCUAAGGUUAGCUGUCUGAGUUUGAAUGACAGCUCUACCAUUUACUCACUCACUGACCUUGGACAGUUACUUAACCUCAUUAACACUAUUUCCUCAUUCAUAAAAUUCAAUCAUAAUAAACUUGGCUGAUAGGAUUACUGUUAUGGAUUCAAUGAAAUAGCCAGCUUAUGUACAGCCUGGCAUAUAGUAAGCACUCAAUAAUAAAUGGUAGCUCCCAUUAGUAGGCAGAUUCUGAUACAUACUCUGAAACUGUAAUAUAUUGUCUAUGUUUUAAAAUAUGUUUUUGCUUACUUAGGUACAAAUGAUGAAAGAGAAAUGAUAUUCAAGCAUGCUGCUCUCUUACAUCUUCUGGUAACAGUUAGAGAUGUCCUUUUAACAUGCAGCUUGGACACAGCAUUGGGUUGGGAAUAUUUUAUUUCCCCUUUUCUUUCUAUUAAAUAUUUCAUCUGAAAUAACUUACUUUUCGAAAAAAGAUAUACCUUAUAAGAAAUUACGUAGACUUCUUUUCUAUUAUAAUAAGCAUUACAUACAUUUUGGCAAGAUA